GAUGAAGAACGUAGCGAAAUGCGAUAAGUAAUGUGAAUUGCAGAAUUCAGUGAAUCAUCGAAUCUUUGAACGCACCUUGCGCUCUUUGGUAUUCCGAAGAGCAUGCCUGUUUGAGUGUCAUGAAAAUAUCAACCUUGACUUGGGUUUUGUGCUCUAGUCUCGGCUUGGAAUUGGGUUCUUGCCGCUUUUACGAGCGGCUCACCUUAAAUGUAUUAGCUGGAUCUGUCUUUGAGACUUGGUUUGACUUGGCGUAAUAAGUAUUUCGCUAAGGACAUUCUUCGGAGUGGCCUCGUUUCUAGGACGCUUGUCCGCUUUCCAAUACAAGUUCCACCUCGUGGACAUGACUUUUUAUUAUCUGGCCUCAAAUCAGGUAGGACUACCCGCUGAACUUAAGCAUAUCAAUAAGCGGAGGA
RNAcentral lists this unclassified non-coding RNA (413 nucleotides) under soil metagenome. RNAcentral describes it as "partial contains 5.8S ribosomal RNA, internal transcribed spacer 2, and large subunit ribosomal RNA". The stretch from base 1 to 120 matches the Rfam family "5.8S ribosomal RNA", at positions 35 to 154 of the family's 154-position model. The record is from RNAcentral.